CAGACUGCAUUCGCAUGUACAGACCAGGCGCCGUUGUCAAGUUCGGAGGGAAAAAAUGAUGCAGCAUGAAGCUAUUUCAAUCGAGGCAACAGAACUGACACACAGUACAUCAGUGAUCGAUAUUAAAGUUCACUAACCAAGAAUAGAACAGAUACGAAUACUAAUUCAUCGAUAUGGAUACGACUGCGGUAAACUGCAACUAUUUUACUCAACUAUUCUUCUUCUUCGAUGAUCUCCUCACAGCUAGUUCCUUCCUAUUAUUCUUCUGAAGACUGAUAGAACUGAAGAAUAUGUCACUAACAAAACUGAAUCUCGCACAGACUAUAUUCCUGAUUGUUGGAUUGAAAAAAUUUGCGCAAGAAUCCCAAUCAAUUGGAACCCUACACACAUCUCAAUCAAUCAAUCAAUCAAUCAAUCAAUCUCAUGAACUCACCCUCCACCGUGCAACAACAACCCUAGAUGAUCGCAAUCGAAUCUUGUGGACAAAUUGGUACUGCAGGGUACCCAUUGCUGACCUUAAUCCGUUCCCAGUUCAUGAUCCAC
This 543-nucleotide long non-coding RNA is filed under the name Setaria viridis. Its description in RNAcentral is "long non-coding RNA (SVIR_LNC003347)". The record is from RNAcentral. Lineage: Eukaryota; Viridiplantae; Streptophyta; Magnoliopsida; Poales; Poaceae.